This 93-nucleotide transfer RNA is filed under the name Actinomadura citrea. RNAcentral describes it as "tRNA-Val". The record is from RNAcentral. Lineage: Bacteria; Bacillati; Actinomycetota; Actinomycetes; Streptosporangiales; Thermomonosporaceae.
GCCGAGGUCGUGCAGGGCUCCCACGGCGACGCCGACACCAUCGCCAAGGCGCUCGACGGCGCCGACCGGAUGUUCUGGCUCGUGCCCCCGGCC